CUACGGGCUGCAGCAGUGAGGAUUAUUGCACAAUGGGGGGAACCCUGAUGCAGCAACGCCGCGUGGAGGAUGACGCAUUUCGGUGUGUAAACUCCUUUUAUAUGUCAAGAAAAUGACGUUAGCAUAUGAAUAAGCACCGGCUAACUCCGUGCCAGCAGCCGCGGUAAUACGGAGGGUGCAAGCGUUACUCGGAAUCACUGGGCGUAAAGGACGCGUAGGCGGGUUGGAAAGUCAGGUGUGAAAUCCUACAGCUUAACUGUAGAACUGCACUUGAAACUUCUAAUCUAGAGUAUGGGAGGGGGAGAUGGAAUUAGUGGUGUAGGGGUAAAAUCCGUAGAUAUCACUAGGAAUACCUAAAGCGAAGGCGAUCUCCUGGAACAUUACUGACGCUAAGGCGUGAAAGCGUGGGGAGCAAACAGGAUUAGAUACCCCUGUAGUC
RNAcentral lists this ribosomal RNA (439 nucleotides) under uncultured bacterium. RNAcentral describes it as "partial 16S ribosomal RNA". It matches the Rfam family "Bacterial small subunit ribosomal RNA", at positions 339 to 795 of the family's 1533-position model. The record is from RNAcentral.